This 447-nucleotide unclassified non-coding RNA is filed under the name Bombus terrestris (buff-tailed bumblebee). Its description in RNAcentral is "misc RNA ENSBTSG00005029917.1". Lineage: Eukaryota; Metazoa; Arthropoda; Insecta; Hymenoptera; Apidae. The record is from RNAcentral.
GUGAGAAACCAACAUAUGGAAAAAAUACCAAAUAUAUUCCAAUAUUAUUUACAAGUUACAAUUUAAGUUAUAACACGUUAACAUUCUUUCAACCACAUUUGGUGUUAGAGAUCGAUGAAAAGGUUAAUUCAUCGGUCAGUAUAUACGACACUUUUAUGUUACUCGAAGACUCGCUCCUCGACAAAAUAUUACUCACACUCGCAAGUCUGGUAAAUAAGAUACAUCCACGAAUAUUCACUUGUAAAUACGCAUCACCGUCAAUGAAAUAUAAUGCGAAGAAAGAUGACACGAGAUACGGAGCCGCCGACGCGGGAAGCAAAAAGGAAAUAUUAAUGUCGUAAUCGAGGACGUUUUAUGUCGGCCAACAAAUCUCAUUACUUGUUACGUUGCUCGCCAUUGUUGUAGCCCAACUUGAAGAAAUCUUUCAGCACCACGUUGAAUGUUACG